GCAAUACUAUUCAAAUGUAUAUUGGAUAAGCCUCUUUAUUGUUUGUUUUUUUUUUUUUUUUUCUGAUUCUGUUUCUUAGAUAUAUAUUAUCAUCCUUUUCUGCAUUUCUCCUAUCUCCUAUAAUUUACAGUCCUUUUUGUCCAUUAACUAGUGGUAAUACAUGAGUAAAGAGAAGACUUUGAAGAUACAGGUGCCUUUUCAUCUCUUUCAUCAAUCAAGUCCCACCUUUCUCAUUUUUAUUUGUUUAUUUUCAAGCUUUUUAGUUGUUGUGCUUUGUUUUCUUUUCCUUUUCUUUUUUUAUCUUCAGAGAGUCAAUUUUUUUUUUUUAUGAAGUGUCUGAUUCCUCUUAUUUACAACCAAAUUUCUCUUUACUGUGUUGGCUCUUGGGAUUGCUUGAACAUGCAGAAAUGUGUUCUUCGAAACCCAGGGCUUC
RNAcentral lists this long non-coding RNA (433 nucleotides) under Vigna radiata. RNAcentral's name for it is "long non-coding RNA (VRAD_LNC004633)". Lineage: Eukaryota; Viridiplantae; Streptophyta; Magnoliopsida; Fabales; Fabaceae. The record is from RNAcentral.